UACGUAGGUGGCAAGCGUUAUCCGGAUUUAUUGGGCGUAAAGAGAACGCAGGCGGUCUUUUAAGUCUGAUGUGAAAGCCUUCGGCUUAACCGGAGUAGUGCAUUGGAAACUGGGAGACUUGAGUGCAGAAGAGGAGAGUGGAACUCCACGUGUAGCGGUGAAAUGCGUAGAUAUAUGGAAGAACACCAGUGGCGAAAGCGGCUCUCUGGUCUGUAACUGACGCUGAGGUUCGAAAGCGUGGGUAGCAAACAGG
Molecule: ribosomal RNA, 253 nt
Filed under: uncultured bacterium
Lineage: Bacteria
Description: partial 16S ribosomal RNA
Rfam family: Bacterial small subunit ribosomal RNA
Source: RNAcentral